This 253-nucleotide ribosomal RNA is filed under the name uncultured bacterium. RNAcentral's name for it is "partial 16S ribosomal RNA". It matches the Rfam family "Bacterial small subunit ribosomal RNA", at positions 524 to 776 of the family's 1533-position model. The record is from RNAcentral.
UACAGAGGAUGCAAGCGUUAUCCGGAAUGAUUGGGCGUAAAGCGUCUGUAGGUGGCUUUUAAGUCCGCCGUCAAAUCCCAGGGCCUCAACUCUGGACAGGCGGUGGAAACUACCAAGCUGGAGUACGGUAGGGGCAGAGGGAAUUUCCGGUGGAGCGGUGAAAUGCGUAGAGAUCCGGAGGAACACCGACGGCGUAGGCAGCGCCCUGGCCGUUUCCUGACGCUGAUGCACGAAAGCUGGGGGAGCAAACAGG